RNAcentral lists this ribosomal RNA (366 nucleotides) under uncultured bacterium. RNAcentral's name for it is "bacterial SSU rRNA". It matches the Rfam family "Bacterial small subunit ribosomal RNA", at positions 441 to 793 of the family's 1533-position model. The record is from RNAcentral.
AGGAAGGUAGUGUAGUUAACACCUGCAUUAUUUGACGUUACCUACACGAAGAAGCACCGGCUAACUCCGUGCCAGCAGCCGCGGUAAUACGGAGGGUGCGAGCGUUAAUCGGAAUUACUGGGCGUAAAGCGCAUGCAGGCGGCCUGUUAAGUCAGAUGUGAAAGACCCGGGGCGUUAACCUCGGAAAUUGCAUUUGUAAACUAGGCAGGCUAGAGUCUUGUAGAGGGGGGUAGGAAGUUUCAGGUGUAGCGGUGAAAUAGCGUAGAGAUCUGAAGGAAUACCAGUGGCGAAGGCGGCCCCCUCGGACAAAGACUGACGCUCAGAUGCGAAAGCGUGGGGAGCAAACAGGAUUAGAUACCCUGGUAG